Molecule: non-coding RNA, 508 nt
Organism: Corylus avellana
Lineage: Eukaryota; Viridiplantae; Streptophyta; Magnoliopsida; Fagales; Betulaceae
Source: RefSeq, a predicted model, not a curated record
CUGUGAAGACCAAGCAUCCUUAGCUUCAUUAUGAGUCAAAGUUAUACAUGCUUCUACAAGGAGGGACGAGUAUCACCCAUCUGAAAUGGUUUGGUGUUGAGGGUGAGUACAAUGUUAUGGUUAUUGACCUUCUAGGGCCAAUCGAAAGUUUGCAAUCCUAGAAGACUUGUUCAACUAUUGCAAUCGAAAGUUUUCUUUAAAAAUAGUUUUGAUGCUUGCAGAUCAGUUAAUAAACAGAGUUGAGUUUAGGGCGCAAAGCUAAUCAGGUGAUGCCCGAGUUACAAAAUGUUGGAAAUGGAGGCUACGUUAUAUGAAACCAGUGCAAGUGAUCGAUGGAAAAUAGAAUAUUUUUAUAUGGAGUUUCCUCUACACAUUACGAUUUUCUGCAUUAGUUAUUUGAUUUUUGCAUUUUAUAUUUGCUUCGUGAUUUAUAAUUUUUAAUUUGUAAUUGUAAUUGAAGGUUGAAGCCUUGAAUUUAUGAGAUUGUAUUUGUAAAUUUUAAUUGUUU